This 6438-nucleotide long non-coding RNA is filed under the name Lotus japonicus. RNAcentral describes it as "long non-coding RNA (LJAP_LNC000048)". Lineage: Eukaryota; Viridiplantae; Streptophyta; Magnoliopsida; Fabales; Fabaceae. The record is from RNAcentral.
UCAGUUUCAAAAAAAAAAGUUUUUCACCUUACCUUUCUAACGUUCCGAUUUCGUUCCUUUUCUCCUUCUCUGAGCCGUUUCUCUAAGGUUUCAAAAAUCAUUUAAAGCCUUCCUUAGAGAAUUUCAUGUAUCUGACCAUCUCUGCUUCAGUCAAGGAUCUGCUAGAAUCAGGAUUGACAUGGGAAUUCAGGGCUUCCGCAAUCUCCAUGUUUGCUUGGCAGCCAGGAUUCGCACGAAGAAAUAGAGGCUUUAAAUUGCAUCACGUUCUUCUUCCCUUUAUUUUGUCUCUAGGGUUCCAAAAUUGACAGAUUUGAGAGAGAGGCUUUCUGCAAUUUUUCAGGUUUGUUUCUCUUUCUCGUAUCUGGGAUUUGUUCUUCCUCCCUACAUCCAUUCGUUCUCUUCGUUUUUUUUUUAAUUUUCCAAUCAGGAUGAAGAAGAAUUUUGCCAAAACAAAUUUGAUUUGAAUUGUUCUCUGUGAUUCGCGUCGUGCAGAUUUGGUACAUCUCUUAUGGGUCUGCAGUGCCAUAAUCCUAAUUCCCAAAUGAUGGGGUCGAAGCUGUUGGCAAGAUGAAGGGCUCCGGGGUUGAAGAAUUGGAAAGCUCAACUGAAAUCGAUGGUGUGUUGUUGUUACAGAUCCUCAGCGGCACCUAAUUCACACAGCUAGGGUUUCUAAAACGACCACAAUUGAGAGGGUGUCAUGAUUUUCAAUAAAUCAUGACAUUUGUGCGUGAAUCAAAUAGAAAGUGGAAUAAAGGGAGCAAAAUUGAGAGGGCGUGAGACAUGAGGAGGAUGGGGAUGCGUCAGACAUAGAUGACUUCCACGAGGAGGUUUUGAUUCCUCUGUUCAAAUCUUUUGAUUCUUUCUUCUCUUUUUAGUGUUUAGAAAUCCAUUUUAUACGCUUUUGUUUCACUGAAAUGAAUUAUGAAACCAACAUUCAUUGAAGGUUUGAACCUAGUACUAUUACUUUCAUGAAAAAACUUGAUUGAUUCAUGUUCUAUGAUGGUUAUUUUUGGCUAUGUAGGUUCUGAUAUUUAAUCUUUUUAAAGAAACAUCAACAUGGCUUUUGAAAGUCCUGCGGUUUUUCUCAUUUCUAAAUAUUAAAUGCCCUGAGCUUUGAAUAUCUAAUUAUAUAUCUAUUGAACUCUGAAUUAGAACUACCCUGUUGUAGUUUCAUGAUAUCAGAGAGGGGAAGGAUUUACGGCGCACAAAGGGGACCACAAUCACAACAAUCUGUACAUUAUUGUCUGGAUCAGGUAUGGUAAGUUUGUCUUAUCCCUUUUUACUCUCUUAAAUGAAAAUGAAUUCAUUCUUUUCUUAUAUAUAAUUAGUUUUUUAUUUUUAUCCUUGAUGACUCCCUUCAAAGAAUAAUCAGUCUGAACCGAAGGCGUAUUGGCAAAGUUUCAAAAUCCUUUCUCCUGAAAAAUUAUGAUGAUAGCCAUCUCUAAAGGAUUUCAGAAGUCGGCUGGAAUAGAACCCUAGCUCGUGUAUUACAAGAUCUUUUGCUAGGUUUGAACUUCCCAAUAAAGAAAUCUAGACAUGACUUCAUUUUGAACAACAACAAUCUUAAACACACAUAUUCAUUAAGGCAGGGUUGGUGCAAAAUCAAUCCAUUCAAUUGUUCAUUGAAUAAGUGGGAAAGAAAGUCUCCCCCCCUCUCUCUCAAAAUUCAUAUUUUAGAAAUUAAAAUUCAAGCAAGCUGAAAUCAAAAUAUUGAAAUAAAAAACAAAAGGAAAGUUAUAUGCGAAAACUAAAAUCUCAGAAACUUAAAGUUGUCUUCAGUAUGUGUGUAUUUAUCAAUUCGAUUGGAUAACAAUGUGUUUUUUCUCAAUCCAAUAACAUUUGGAACUUGAAUGUGCUUUCAACUGGAAAACAAACACACUAUAUUAUACAUUCCUCAAUGAAGAGUAUAAACAAAUUCCUUCUUAAUUGCAUAAUAAUCAACGCUCUAGCUUCUAGUGGAGUUAAGGGUCAGUCCCUGAAAGUAGUCCUUCUCAGCAUUAGCCAUACGUUCUUGGAACAUUGUCCAUUCCUUCUUACACCUCUCCCUCACCUGAUGGAUACAAACCAAAGUUUCUAAUCAAUGUUCGUAACAUAUAUACAUGUUCCUGUAAAUUCAGCUUGAAUUUCAUCUAGGUGUAUAGAAGAUAAAUUGGUAAAAUGAAAUUACAGGUCAUGUGAAACCGAAAUUCAAAUGUGAUAGCAAGAUGAAAUUCAUACAUACCCCUUCCCAUGGUGCCCUGCCAGUCUCUGCUUGCCCCUAUUAAAAGAACACAAGUCAGAGAAAGAAAGAGAUAAAAUUGAGAUAUCUAAUGUAUAAUGUGAUGAGAUUUUUUUUUUGGAGAAAUAGAGAGAAGUGAAGUGUAGGUUGAAUAUUUAGAGUGUACAAAAAUCAAAACUCAAAUAUUUUAAGCAUUACUUACUUGGUUCCCAAGUGAAGGAACACUUUGAUGGACAAUCCACUGAGCAUCAACAACUCCUAUUUUCUUAUGAGGAGUCUGCAUAUCCAAUCUAAGUAAAGUUCAUUGAAUCCAAUCAUGGAAACAUAAAUGUUUAUCAAAGAAAUAUAAACUAUUAACCUCCACACAUUUUCUGAGAGCAAAAUCAAGACCCCAUCCAUGAAUCAGGUCAUGCUACAAGGCAACAAAAUGAAAAGUAAGAUAUGAAUUGAUUAUGCAGAGACAAUUACAAUAGAAGACACAAAUGUAAUUCUUAAACCUGUAUCAUAUGCCACACACAGCGCCAUGCAUCUCUGGAAAAUACAGGAGCCAUGAUCUCAACAAAUCUGAGCAUUCCAAAAAUUAAGCUCAGUGAGUUAUAUAUGAUCCCCUUUUGAAGUUUGUAAGGAGAAAGAUGUCUCUCAUUAAAACCAAAUGAUUUGGGAACUUGUUGAAGCCAAAAUCAUGGGUGACAGAAGCAACAUCCCUUGGUUUUUGCUUCAGCCCACCAUGAUUUUGCCUUCAUCAUGAUUUCCAAACGUGUUUUCAAACAUGCAAUAAAUUCUUCAGAAGUUAACAGUUGCUUACGCAGCACAAGGUGGCAAGUUUGGCUCUGGACACCAACCUUUUUUCUUAUCCCUACAGGAAGAAUAAGGAAUAACUGUGAUAAAAGAAUAAAACCAUAAUCUAAAUGGUCGUUCCAAAAAUUUUAUUUUUGAGCGCAAUGACAUUGAUUCUUAUAUGUGACUAAUCCCAUAAGUGGAAUGCUUCGUUUAUGCUGUUGUUGUUGAUGAUAGUUACUAGAAUUCGAGUUAGGUCUGAUUCUACUUCAAAAGUGAGAAAAGGUGUGAAGGUUGUUAUACCCUUAAUAAAUACUUAUUAGGUUAUAUCUCUUUGAUCAAUGUAAGACUUCUCAACAUACUCCCUCAAGCCUGGGAUUGGACAUCUGGAACAGGAAAUUUACAGGGCUGAAUGUCUGUUGGUGCCUCAUAUAUGAGUGGUGUUCAAUAAACUAGUAUAAAAUAUACUUUUUGAUAUCAUUUUAGAGUUUGAGUUUGUCUUAACUCGACCCCCAAAAGCUACCUCAGGGGUGAGGGUUACACUACUAUAGUCAAUGAGGAACUUCUCAACAAUGAUGAUUAUGUAGUGAUAACAAAAAUAACGAACAAAGCUAAAACAUGAUAAGGUAUCCACUUACUUGUGUACUUCACCUUCAUCCCCUUUCCUUGUCAUUUCCCAUGUAAAACUACUUUUCCGAUCUAGACCAGGCUGUGAGAUCUCCAAACCAUGUUUUCAUACCAUUUUCAAGUACCUAGAAUAGAGAUAUAUUUCAUUACAAAAAAAAAAUCACCAACACCAUGAUUCCCACAACAUAGACUUGGUUUUGGCUAUUGAUACUUAGUACUUACUCCUCUGCAUCAAAAUGAUCCAAACCAAGAUCCUCAUCCCAAAUGAAGAUGUAAUCAUAGGGAGCCACAAUGUAAGGAUGUAGAAAGCGUUUAGCAUACCACCUUCAACCAAAUUCCAAGAUUGCAUAUCUAAAUCAAACUUGUUACAAUUUAUAGAAGGGUUAAUCAUCUAAUAGGUCCUUGUCUUUGUCUCGCCGUCUGAAAUUAGCCCCUCCCCGGAAAAUUUGUAAAUCUGGGUCCUCUCGUUUGCAAUAAGUCUGGAGCAGGUCCUCGCCGGAGCCCGGAGCUCCGACGAGUGAUGAAUUGACAUGAUGACCGGAUAAAUGAGGCUGAUGUGGAUUUAAAAAAAUAAAAAAAAACAAGUAAGAUUUAUUAAUCAAAUUAAUAAAAAGAAAAUUAAUCAUCUUCUUCUUCUUCUUAAAUCUAUUAACAAAUCUAACCUAAUCUAACUAAAAAAUCAAUUUUCCCCAAAUAAUAAUAAAAAUAAAAAUAAACCCUAAAUCAAUUGCUGCUUCUUCCUCUCAAACCCAGAAACUUCUGAGCAUCUUCUCAUCUUCAGCAUGUCCAUCCACCACCUCCGCCUAGAUCUGGUUUCUGCUGGGUUGCGAGUGAGGGUGGGGAUGGGGUGGGUCGCGAGUGAGGGUUGGGGUGUCGGUUGGGGGUGGGGUUGAGGUUGCAGCAUGGGGGUGGGUUUCUGGGGUGGGUUGCGAUGGGUUUUAGGUGGGGAUGGGUUUCAAGGGUCGGUUGCGGGUGAGGGUGGGGUGGGUUACGAGUAAGGGUGGGGAUGGAGUGGGUUGCAGGUGAAGGUGGGGGUGGGUUACGAGUGGGGUUGGGUUGCAGGUGAAGGUGGGAAUGGGUAUCUGGGUGGGGGUGCUUCUUCCUCUGGGUUACUGUGUGUGAUGUUGCAGAGAGGGGAUGAGGAAGAAAACAAGUAACCAAUUGAAGCCACCCAUAACCCAUUAGGAUAAGUUAAUCAAAACCAGAGCAAGGGCCAAGAGAGGUGAUGUUUUCUUUUAAAAGUGAAUCAUCUGGAGAGGAACGAAAAACCAGAGCAAAAGCACGUUACAAGAGGAGAGGAGAAAUAGAAAGCUAGAAAGUGAAUAUUAAUGUUUCUACUCUUCUUUGUUUCGAUUUGAAUUACUAUUUGAUGCUAUAUCUUUGAUGAAUAAAUCUAGAGGUGUGAUAGUUUAUUGCCCUCAAUAUGCUUGAGAUUAUGUCAGAAUCAUCACUUGUGGAUCGUCUUGGGCAAAGCAGGUUGGAGGAAGAAGCUACUAUUGUUCUAUGUUUUUAUUCUUCUUCUUCUUGUGUUUUCUUGUUUUGAUCUGCAAUUGUGUUUUUGAUUUCUGUUUAUGGGAUCUGGUUUUGAUAUUGAAGACAAAGGGAAUUUUUUUUUCUUCUGAAAGUGAAGAUUUAAUUUUGGGAGAGGUUCUGAAUUUUUUGGGAGAAUUAAAAAUUUUAAUUUUUAAUUUUUAAUUUUUUUUCCUUGCCACGUCAGAUAAGUAAACCCAGUCAUCAUGCCAAUUCAUCACUCGUCGGAGCUUCGGGCUCCGGUGAGGACCUGCUCCAGACUUAUUGCAAACGAGAGGACCCAGAUUUGCAAAUUUUCCGGGGAGGGACUAAUUUCAGACGGCGAAACAAAGACAGGGACCAAGUAGAUAAUUAACCCUUUAUAAAAUGAAACAAAAACUCUGUUAAUCGUGAAAUUCAUUACCAACCAUUUAGUUUGCUUUCUAACACUGAUAUGAAUUGCUUUCUUGGACCACUCAAAGUUAUCCCACUCACUAGCGCGUCCAUCAUAGUGAAACAACACAAUGGUGAAGUUUUCUGCGAACUAAGAUUGAAGUCCAAAAGUCAUACAAAGAGCAAAACAAACACAAAGAAAAAUGAAUGCAGGAGAAUAACAUAAGUUCAAAUAACCUUUUUGAUUGCAGCAUCAAUGUUGCUUCUCUGAUCAUACCUGAGAGUAAAAGUUACAAGAUAUUUGGGUUUGAUACUUAGGUCCUACAAGUCCCACCUCCAUCAAGAAAAGAGUCAGAUUAGAGAAGGGAAUAACAUUUGUAACUUGUUCAAUUCUUCUUUAACAAGUUGUGAUUUGUUUGGCUCAAAUAGGAAUUGCGCAAUGUGAACUUCAAGUUUGCUAUAGAGCAACCACAUGAAGUUUGAUCUGUCAAUUAAUGCUAGAACACUACAAAAAUAUUUGUUAUAACUGUAAGCAUUUAGCUACUAAUUGAGAGGAACGUGAACGGACUUCAAUGUGAAUUCAUAAGAAGAGUUUUGUUCACUUUUUAUCUUAAUGAGAGUUUAACGUCUGUUUGCACUGGUGUCAACAUGUAUUCAAACAUCACAAAUGUUCAUUUUCUCAAUAAUGAUUUAAAACUUUGACACCACUCUAGUAAUCAAUCACACAUUUAAUAAAAGGUUUUUGUGAUGAAAAUUAUUAUUUUUGCAGAUUAAAAUUAGUUUUUGCUUUGAGGUACAGAGAAUUUGCACACCUGAUCGGGUAGACCCCACAACUGACGAAGAUAGAGAUCUGAUUGAGAUUCCACAAUUCUUGGGGGCAGUCUUUCAGCUCCAUGAGGAUUUGUAGGAACCCA